This 928-nucleotide long non-coding RNA is filed under the name Rhinopithecus bieti (black snub-nosed monkey). RNAcentral's name for it is "lncRNA (ENSRBIG00000046150.1)". Lineage: Eukaryota; Metazoa; Chordata; Mammalia; Primates; Cercopithecidae. The record is from RNAcentral.
UACAAGGGUCGCAGACAUUCAGAUCAUGGCAGGACUGUCAUAGAUGUUACUUUGUGAAGACACAAAGAACAAUGUGAUUGGAGAGAUCAGUCUUCAAUUAGCUGUAUUUUCUAGGAGGCUACCUUUACUUAGCCUCGCAACAUGGGCCGUUGCUUUGGCACUAAAUCUGCACAAACACCUGGCUUAAGUGUUAUGACAGACUGACUAUUCAACCAAACCAUACAAAUGACCAUUUCCGUACGAAAGCGUGAACUUCAGUGUUGAACUGAAUCAACCAACCUCCUCAAUCCAAAUGGAGAUGCCUGUGGAAGAGGAUGGGCCAGGGUCAGCUUUCACCUUCAUAUCCUAAAGGCUGUCUCUUCCUCUGCUGCCCUACCCAGAUUCCCAUUGCUUCUUGUGUAAUUGACUCCUUUACAUGAUUCUUCACGUAGACCCACUAUUUCAGCUUCUCUGACCCAAAGAGGAUCUUGGAAGAAUUCUGUUUCUGUCCAUGAAUCCCCAGUUUUUCUUUAUCAACCACCAAAACCAAGAUAUACCAACCCCAAAUGUCAAGGCUAGAAUGCCCAGUAGGAGUGCAGACUGGAGGAUCGGCUGUCUUUUGAACUGGAGACAUCACAGGAAACUGGGGAGGCUCCAAAUUGCUAACCUGAGGCCGGAGCAAAAACUUUUUCGUCGAAGGGACUGCUUUUUUUAUUUCCCCUUCAACGGAUGGCAUCCCAAGUCCUGCUGGAUUGCAUCUGUCUUUGUUCCUGCAGCCAAGCCUUAUGGCUGGCUCACACUCUGCCACGCUCAUAACCUCACACUAGAAAGGAUAUUACAAAGAGGGGCAAACACCCUAGAGGGUUCCCCUUUAUCAGAACCUUCCCUGUCAGUGGGCUCCUCAUUUCCCGAGCCCUCGUCUGAUUAUUAGUGUACUGACGGAAUAAAA